Molecule: microRNA precursor, 52 nt
Organism: Chlorocebus sabaeus (green monkey)
Lineage: Eukaryota; Metazoa; Chordata; Mammalia; Primates; Cercopithecidae
Rfam family: mir-1302 microRNA precursor family
Source: Rfam
UUUUCAGUAUAAGUAUGUAUCAUGCAAUAUUUGGUACAUAUUUAUACUAAAA